UUCUGUGACUCUGGAGAUUGGUCAUGGAAGUGUAGUGGAGUCCAUCAUGUCCUGUCAAGCAUGUGGAUACUCUGCCCCAACCAAGCAAGUAGUCUGCAAGGAUCACAUGGUGUAAACCGUGUCUUCCUGGCAGUUGAAAACCGAGGCACAGGCUCAGGCUGGCAACAGAGCAAGCAAAACUCGGUGCUACUUGCAGUGGUGGGAUAGUAGGGUU
Molecule: signal recognition particle RNA, 214 nt
Filed under: Dinophysis acuminata
Lineage: Eukaryota; Dinophyceae; Dinophysales; Dinophysaceae
Description: partial Protozoan signal recognition particle RNA
Rfam family: Metazoan signal recognition particle RNA
About the family: The signal recognition particle (SRP) is a universally conserved ribonucleoprotein. It is involved in the co-translational targeting of proteins to membranes. The eukaryotic SRP consists of a 300-nucleotide 7S RNA and six proteins: SRPs 72, 68, 54, 19, 14, and 9.
Source: RNAcentral